Molecule: ribosomal RNA, 330 nt
Filed under: uncultured eukaryote
Lineage: Eukaryota
Description: partial 18S ribosomal RNA
Rfam family: Eukaryotic small subunit ribosomal RNA
Source: RNAcentral
CCCUUAGAUGUUCUGGGCCGCACGCGCGCUACACUGAUGCAUUCAACGAGCCUAUCCUUGACCGACAGGUCCGGGUAAUCUUUGAAUCUGCAUCGUGACGGGGAUAGAUUAUUGCAAUUAUUAAUCUUCAACGAGGAAUGCCUAGUAGGCGCAAGUCAUCAGCUUGCGUCGAUUACGUCCCUGCCCUUUGUACACACCGCCCGUCGCUACUACCGAUUGGAUGGUUUAGCGAGAACUUUGGACCGGAGCUCGGGUGGUCAGCAAUGGUCGCCCGAGAUGUCUGGGAAAUCGUUCCAGCUUGAUCAUCUAGAGGAAGUAAAAGUCGUAACA